Nycticebus coucang (slow loris) is the source of this 459-nucleotide long non-coding RNA. RefSeq lists it as uncharacterized. The record is from RefSeq and is a predicted model, not a curated record. Lineage: Eukaryota; Metazoa; Chordata; Mammalia; Primates; Lorisidae. The transcript is spliced from 4 exons.
UUGAACCCACCACCUCCAGCAUAUAGGGCUGGCGCCCUACCCUUUUGAGCCACAGGCGCCACCCUCAGAACUAUUUGAUGCUGCAGGAACAGUAGAAAUGUCCAGGGAUGUGUUUCAAAUCAAGAAUGGAACCUCUGCUUGUUGUCAACAGUUUUUCAGAUAAACUACUUCAACUUCGAUGACACUUUUGCACACUGAAAGCCCACUUGCCUGCAGAGCAGCAGUUGGACCUCACAGUGUGGAUUGUGCCUUCACUGGGAAGGUUCUGUGACACCCAUCACCGUGGUGACAUGAGAGUAUAUAUCUUGGCCCCUCCUGCUGCCACUUGCCAUUCAACAUGGGAAACCUGAAAAGCCGAUUCAAAGCAAAGCAAUGUUUCUCCCGCUCCUGCUGCCCUUCAGUCGUCCCACGUCUCCCACCCAUCCCUCUCUAUCCCCAGCCUGUUCCCCUGACCCCACU